Non-coding RNA from Punica granatum (pomegranate), 893 nucleotides. The record is from RefSeq and is a predicted model, not a curated record. Lineage: Eukaryota; Viridiplantae; Streptophyta; Magnoliopsida; Myrtales; Lythraceae.
AUAUCCUUUAUUGCCGAAAGGAAUAAGAAUUUUUCCGGAAUUUAAUGCCCACAACCAAAAGAGAAUGAAGUUAUGAGGAGGAGAAUGGGAAAGGGAAUGGGAAGAGAGAAGAAGGGGAAAAAGAAGGGAAAUCCAGAGGGAAAGUGAAGGGGGAAAAGUGAGGUUGAAGCUGCCCUUCCCGGCCCGUCCCCGCUAUCUCUAUCUGCCUGCCAUUUUUGUACUUGUGAAAGAAAAGAAACAUACGACCUUUUGUCUAAUGAGGUAAGACCAGACCCAAGCUAACCCUUAUUAAAGAAGACAAAGUAUACGUUGUAUAAUUGCUGGCUAUAGCUCUCCUUCUCUUCUCACUCACGUUUUCACUAAAGGAAGGAAUCUCUCGUUUUCGAGCAUUAGAAGGAGAUAAGAAGUAUCGAUGGCGGAUAAUUAGCUUUCGGAACUGAUCAUACUGCUAGAGUUGAUACUGCAUUUGCCUUUGUUACUUGGAAUUAAUCUUCCCCCUUUGUUUGCUGUCUCUGCCUCUUUCUAAUGGCCUUGCUAUCUCGAUCUAGGAUGACUGCAUCGAUUUCUAGUUGUAGUUCACUUGCAAUGCAUUCCCGUGCGGCUGGAUUUCUACAAGGACCUGCAGUUCCAGGUUCUGUUGCCGAGCCUGUCCUAUAAGAUCGUGGUUAACGUGCUCAAACCAAACUGGUUGUAAUUAAGCACAUGCACAAACAUAAUCACACUACUUGUUUCCUGGACCUCCCCCUCAAAUCUUUCAGAUCUAAUGAGCCAGUUAUUGGGCCGAUCUGUCUAUACGUGGGCUGCUGGAGUACUUCAAGUAGGAGACAUAGGCCGAGAUCCAAUUGAUGCUGCUGUAUAUAUUUAUUUACUUAAUAUAAUCUCCUGAUUUAAUC